UACAGAGGUCUCAAGCGUUGUUCGGAUUCAUUGGGCGUAAAGGGUGCGUAGGCGGCGCGGUAAGUCGGGUGUGAAAUCUUGGAGCUUAACUCCGAAACUGCAUUCGAUACUGCCGUGCUUGAGGACUGGAGAGGAGACUGGAAUUUACGGUGUAGCGGUGAAAUGCGUAGAUAUCGUAAGGAAGACCAGUGGCGAAGGCGGGUCUCUGGACAGUUACUGACGCUGAAGCACGAAGGCCAGGGGAGCAAACGGG
Molecule: ribosomal RNA, 253 nt
Filed under: uncultured bacterium
Lineage: Bacteria
Description: partial 16S ribosomal RNA
Rfam family: Bacterial small subunit ribosomal RNA
Source: RNAcentral